CCUACGGGUGGCAGCAGUGAGGAAUAUUGGGCAAUGGGCGCGAGCCUGAACCAGCCAAGUAGCGUGAAGGAUGACUGCCCUACGGGUUGUAAACUUCUUUUAUAAGGGAAUAAAGUGAGGCACGUGUGCCUUUUUGUAUGUACGUUAUGAAUAAGGAUCGGCUAACUCCGUGCCAGCAGCCGCGGUAAGACGGAGGGUCCGAGCGUUAAUCGGAUUUAUUGGGUUUAAAGGGAGCGUAGAUGGGUUGUUAAGUCAGGUGUGAAAGUUUGGGGCUCAACCGUAAAAUUGCAAUUGAUACUGGCAGUCUUGAGUACAGGUGAGGUUGGCGGAAUUCGUGGUGUAGCGGUGAAAUGCGUAGAUAUCACGAAGAACUCCGAUUGCGAAGGCAGCUGACU
RNAcentral lists this ribosomal RNA (395 nucleotides) under uncultured bacterium. RNAcentral's name for it is "partial 16S ribosomal RNA". It matches the Rfam family "Bacterial small subunit ribosomal RNA", at positions 338 to 730 of the family's 1533-position model. The record is from RNAcentral.